This 392-nucleotide ribosomal RNA is filed under the name uncultured bacterium. RNAcentral's name for it is "partial 16S ribosomal RNA". It matches the Rfam family "Bacterial small subunit ribosomal RNA", at positions 523 to 918 of the family's 1533-position model. The record is from RNAcentral.
CUACGGAGGAUGCGAGCGUUAUCCGGAUUUAUUGGGUUUAAAGGGAGCGUAGGCGGGAGCUUAAGUCAGCGGUUAAAUGGUGCGGCUCAACCGUGCCCUGCCGUUGAAACUGGGUUUCUUGAGAGUGCAAGAGGCGGAUGGAAUUCAUGGUGUAGCGGUGAAAUGCUUAGAUAUCAUGAAGAACUCCGAUUGCGAAGGCAGUCCGCUGGGGCACGUCUGACGCUGAUGCUCGAAGGUGCGGGAAUCAAACAGGAUUAGAUACCCUGGUAGUCCGCACGGUAAACGAUGAUUACCCGCUGUCGGCGGUAGACAGUCGGCGGCCAAGCGAAAGCGAUAAGUAAUCCACCUGGGGAGUACGCCGGCAACGGUGAAACUCAAAGGAAUUGGCGGGG